GGAUCUGAAGCCAAAAUCAGUUCAAUUUCGAAUUUUUCAACGUAAUGGAAGGUGUGUCUCCAGACCAGGAAUCUGUGGAGUCUGGCGCAAAAAAAUCCAGUAUAUCUUCAGGUGGCAGGCUUCAUGACCGGAAAGAGUUUCUCCAUAGGUUUGUAGAUAGUGAAAGCCUGACCGAAAACAUUAAAACGUGGUAUGAAGAAACAAUAGAAAAUUCAACUCAUAAGGAACCUUCGUUUGAUGUCCCUUUUGAGUUGAUAGAUCUUCAAAAGUUCGAUUAUGCGUUGGGAGGAGUUCCAUUUCAGCAGCUGAUUCGUAUGCCUAGUGCUGUUUAUGCCUCGACUUCUGGUGCUGCGGAAGCAACUGCUUAUCUUGCUCUGGAGGAUUUUUUACAUGCAAGUGUGAAAGGUUUGUGGGAGGCAUUUUGGGGUCAGGAUGAAACUUUGCCUUUCUAUGUUUCUUGCGUCUAUAAUUCAAACCUGAGAUUUU
Molecule: unclassified non-coding RNA, 486 nt
Filed under: Hevea brasiliensis (rubber tree)
Lineage: Eukaryota; Viridiplantae; Streptophyta; Magnoliopsida; Malpighiales; Euphorbiaceae
Source: RNAcentral